UUACGACGCCGCGUUAAGAACGGAUCCCCUUCGUAAGUCGAGGACUACCUGUAUAUUCUGUGCAUCCCUGUGUGAACAUUUUUUGAAAAUUCAAUUACACCUUAUUUGCUUUGGAUUACCAAAAAAAGUGACUAUUCAUGCAGGAUUCACGUAGGAAUAUUUUUGUUUUACUAAGUUCAAUCUCUUAUUAUCAUUUAAAAAAAAUUCUAUCUCUUAUUUUUUUUAAUGAUUUUUUGAAAGCGGUGGAUUUCCAUGCGCACAGGGUUAUGUGACCUAGUAGAAGCCUUGAGAUGCUGAAAGCUUAACUUUAAGUCUGCUAAGUUACAAAGCAAGUGCUCAAUUACAAAACAAAGUGGAAACUCGUAAAAGAAUGAAUGACUUGAUAAAUAAAUUUCCUAGUUUCCUACAUCUAUUCUAGGACCCACAUCCUUCACACUCACACACCUUUCACUUAGCAGUUGAAAUGAUUAAGGAAAUGAUUUUGUGUAUAUAUAUAUCUUGCUUCUGAUCUUUUGGAAUAGCAUUAGGUUUGCCUGAAUUUAAUAAGUUCUCCUGCAGCGACAUUUUGAGAUAAUUUCCUGACAAGUUUCAUUGCAACAAAAACCCAAGUUCCUCUGCUUGACACCAAUGAUCUUAUAACUAACAUGGGCAGUAGUGUUCAAACUGUUCCUAUCAUGGACAAGGAUUUGGCAUGUUAACCAGUGCUUGUAUUUGUGGGGAUUUGAUUGUAUAACCUUUUACUUUAAGAAUUCUUGAAGAAAUAUUUUGUGUAAUCUAGCACUAUUUGGUUCAUUCGAUGCACUUAGUUCAUGUUUUUCAGAGUGUCAGCAGUUUCUGAAGCUUGUGAUUCAAGAAUAUUUUUUAUUCACCCUUUCAAGGGUAUUGAGAUAUUAAAAAUGUACAUAUAUUCACAGGCAUUACUAUAUAUCUUAUAUGCAAUAUCCUUCCCACACACACACACAUUCACAGAUCAGUUUGUAACAGUUAAUACAUUAAAAGCUCAUUUUUUACCUUGUUCUUUCCUUCUUCUAGCCCUUUAACGCAAAUUGCAUCACUGCAUGUGUAAUCAAAUAAAUCAAAGUAUAUAAACACAUGUAAAUAAAAAAGUUUUGGAGGGGAUGUUUCUGCAACAGGAAAAGGAGGUGACAGGAGGGAAACUGCCAGAGGGGUUCUAGUUUCUCUUACAAUCUUCAGAGGAUGUUGACCGUCUGGAGUGGGAUUGGAAGACUGACCUAGGAAAACGGACACACUCGGAAUGCCAUGUGGCGAUGGGAGGAAUAUUCACUUUAAAGCACGUGGUGAGGAGCAUACUAUCUGUGCUAUUUUCAACUGACUCAGCCCGGUGUUAUAACCUCAAUGGUCUGAAGGGAAGAAGGGACUCAAGAACCACUCCUUUAUUUUACAAACAGUUCAGGAUGCUGCAAGAAAAAGUUAUCCUGAAGCUACAGAUGCUGACCUGCAGGUGCAUAUAUCACCUUGGUUAGCUGGUGCUCGGGAUCGAGAGAAUAGCAGAAGGGAAAGGGCUGAGCACAGCCUGUACAAGUCAGUAAAUUGUUAUGGGGUGGACGACGAGUAAAACUGUACAACUUUACCUGCAGAAAAAAAAAAACUGUUAGGUUUCACGAAAUUUUUUUAACAGCUAUUUAUAAAAGUACAAGUUUUCAAUUUGAAUAAUUUUUAAAAAUGGUUGUAGUUAUUACCAGAAGCUGCAAUCCAGCCUGGAACUGUUUAUAUUUAAUUUCGUGGAUUUUAUUUAUUAUAAGAAAUGACUGUUGUAGCUUAAAUCACUCCCUUUUCAGAACCAAUUCAGUUCAUGCUCAUCAUUUGAUAUAUUGUAAUAGAUCUUUGAACCUUUUCUUUGGGAAAAAUCUAAUUAGUGUAAAACUGCAAUUUAGUUUUAAUGGUUUUGUCAAUGGAUAUAUGUUUUUGCUUCUUCUACAACUCAUAAUCAAAUGACGAAUGUUGCAUUAACAUGUCAUGAGGAAACAUUUUUUAUGCAUUUAAUUGGGACAAUGCUUCACAAAUUGUAUAUUUUAAAUUAUUUUUUUAAUUACCUUGCUUUUUAUCCUUAUUUUCACAGACUUUUUAACUUCAAUAAACGUCAGUAAAAGACAUAUCAUGUUUGUGGUUUUUUUUUGUGUAACAUUUUGCAUUUUUUUGUGCACUUUUUUGCUGCUUAAUUAAUGUAAUCAUGGCAAAACACUCCUUAUUAAUCCAUUUGUUUGGCAUUUAUAGGGUUAUUUUGAUGUAUUUGAUAUUAUGGGUAUUUUUAGGAAUUUUGGCAUAUCCUGAUUUAAAACAAUGUAAAUCAAUAUAUGCCCAUGUCUUUCAAUGCUACUAGGGAUAGGACGUUGCGCAAGACUCGAUUAUUCAAGCGAGGCAUGCAAAGAGAAUGUACUGAACUUUACAAGAAAAAAAAUAUUACAAAGUUAAAUUUAACAGUUGAGAAACAAAUGAAACUUUUAGGUUCAAAUUAUUACAGCUU
This 2485-nucleotide long non-coding RNA is filed under the name Pomacea canaliculata. RNAcentral's name for it is "uncharacterized LOC112562157, transcript variant X3". The record is from RNAcentral. Lineage: Eukaryota; Metazoa; Mollusca; Gastropoda; Architaenioglossa; Ampullariidae.